RNAcentral lists this ribosomal RNA (160 nucleotides) under Haematoloechus asper. RNAcentral's name for it is "5.8S ribosomal RNA". It matches the Rfam family "5.8S ribosomal RNA". From Rfam's summary of the family: 5.8S ribosomal RNA (5.8S rRNA) is a component of the large subunit of the eukaryotic ribosome. It is transcribed by RNA polymerase I as part of the 45S precursor that also contains 18S and 28S rRNA. Functionally, it is thought that 5.8S rRNA may be involved in ribosome translocation. The record is from RNAcentral. RNAcentral also lists the same sequence under 1 other name. Lineage: Eukaryota; Metazoa; Platyhelminthes; Trematoda; Plagiorchiida; Haematoloechidae.
UACAACUCUGAGCGGUGGAUCACUCGGCUCGUGUGUCGAUGAAGAGCGCAGCCAACUGUGUGAAUUAAUGUGAACUGCAUACUGCUUUGAACAUCGACAUCUUGAACGCACAUUGCGGCCAUGGGUUAGCCCAUGGCCACGCCUGUCCGAGGGUCGGCUU